Molecule: ribosomal RNA, 444 nt
Filed under: uncultured bacterium
Lineage: Bacteria
Description: bacterial SSU rRNA
Rfam family: Bacterial small subunit ribosomal RNA
Source: RNAcentral
GCACAGUGGGCGCAAGCCUGAUGCAGCCAUGCCGCGUUGUAUAGGAAGAAGGCCGUUCGGGUUGUAAAGUACUUUCAGCAGUGAGGAAGGUGGGUAUGUUAAUAGCAUAUUACAUUUCGACGUUAGCUGCAGAAGAAGCACCGGCUAACUCCGUGCCAGCAGCCGCGGUAAUACGGAGGGUGCGAGCGUUAAUCGGAAUUACUGGGCGUAAAGCGCAUGCAGGUGGUUUGUUAAAGUCAGAUGUGAAAGCCCCGGGGCUCAACCUCGGAAUUGCAUUUGAAACUGGCAAACUAGAGUACUGUAGAGGGGGUAGAAUUUCAGGUGUAGCGGUGAAAUGCGUAGAGAUCUGAAGGAAUACCGGUGGCGAAGGCGGCCCCCCUGGACAGAUACUGACACUCAGAUGCGAAAGCGUGGGGAGCAAACAGGAUUAGAUAACCUCGGUAG